AAUCGAGGCCCCGUAAUUGGAAUGAGUACACUUUAAAUCCUUUAACGAGGAUCAAUUGGAGGGCAAGUCUGGUGCCAGCAGCCGCGGUAAUUCCAGCUCCAAUAGCGUAUAUUAAAGUUGUUGCAGUUAAAAAGCUCGUAGUUGGAUCUCAGGAUUUGGAUGGAUGGUUCGCUUUCGGGCGCUACUAUCUGUCUGACCUACUCUAGUCGUGGAUGCCUUGGGUGCUCUUAAUUGAGUGCUUUUGGUGCCCGACGCAAUUACUUUGAAAAAAUUAGAGUGCUCAAAGCAGGCGUAUUGCCUGAAUAGUGUUGCAUGGAAUAAUGAAAUAGGAGUUUACUUCUAUUUUGUUGGUUUUCGGAGGUGAACUAAUGAUUAACAGGGACAGACGGGGGCAUUUGUAUGGAGGGGUUAGAGGUGAAAUUCUUGGAUCCUCUCCAGACAAACUACUGCGAAAGCAUUUGCCAGGAAUGUUUUCACUAAUCAAGAACGAAAGUCAGAGGUUCGAAGACGAUCAGAUACCGUCCUAGUUCUGACCAUAAAUGAUGCCAUCUAACAAUCCACGAAGUUUGCUUGUACGAACUCGUGGGCGGUCCCCGGGAAACCAAAGAUUUUGGGUUCCGGGGGAAGUAUGGUUGCAAAGCUGAAACUUAAAGGAAUUGACGGAAGGGCACCACCAGGAGUGGAGCCUGCGGCUUAAUUUGACCCAACACGGGAAACCUCACCCGGCCCGGACACUUUUAGGAUUGACAGAUUGAAGGCUCUUUCUUGAUCAAGUGGUUGGUGGUGCAUGGCCGUUCUUAGUUGGUGGAGCGAUUUGUCUGGUUAAUUCCGAUAACGAACGAGACUCUACUCUGCUAAAUAGAACGUUGAUAUAUAAAAGUCAGUGCUGACUUCUUAGAGAGACUAACGGCGUUUAGCCGUGUGAGAAAGAGCAAUAACAGGUCUGUGAUGCCCUUAGAUGUCCGGGGCCGCACGCGCGCUACACUGACUGCAGCAACUAGUAUGCUCCUGGUUUGAAAAAACUGGGUAACCUGGUUGUAUUGCAGGCGUGACAGGGAUCAGAGUUUGCAAUUAUCCUCUGUGAACGAGGAAUUCCCAGUAAGCGCAAGUCAUUAGCUUGUGCUGAUUACGUCCCUGCCCUUUGUACACACCGCCCGUCGCUACUACCGAUUGAAUGGUUUAGUGAGGUCUUCGGAUUGGUGCUGAUGGAGUGGUUCUCUGCUCUGUUAGUGCCGAGAAGAUGAUCAAACUUGAUCAUUUAGAGGAAGUAAAAGUCGUAACAAGGU
RNAcentral lists this ribosomal RNA (1286 nucleotides) under metagenome. Its description in RNAcentral is "SSU rRNA". It matches the Rfam family "Eukaryotic small subunit ribosomal RNA", at positions 493 to 1800 of the family's 1831-position model. The record is from RNAcentral.